This is a long non-coding RNA of Mytilus californianus (California mussel), 1131 nucleotides long. RefSeq lists it as uncharacterized. The transcript is spliced from 3 exons. NCBI's taxonomy places the organism in Eukaryota, Metazoa, Mollusca, Bivalvia, Mytilida, Mytilidae. The record is from RefSeq and is a predicted model, not a curated record.
GAUCCGCCACUGAUUGUGAAUAUAAAUAUAAUUGUUACUUAAAAGUCAUAGACUAGUACUAGCUCCGAGCACCUGUUUUGGGAUAUAUACAGCUAAUUAACCGUAAAUAACUGCGAGAUAAUGAAUAACAAGUUGAUAAUUGUCUAUUCUCUGCUAAUUAAUGUACCUGCAAUUCACCCUGAUUCAUUUGUGAGACCACCGACACUAAUAAUAUUACCUCAAAGUUAGAGGUUCUCCGUUACAGGGAACUUCAUAUCGGAUCCGAUCAAUUUAUUGGUUCCAUUCCCCCUAGUAAUAAUGAUCCAUUUGCAGUGACGGUGACAAUCAAAGCAGUAAGGGGAAACAACUCCUUACUAUAAUGCAACCGCCAUGUUUAUGCGGGGAAGACCGAGUUUUGUGUUUACAAAAAGGUUGAUUUAGCGGAUCGUAUAUAUCAGAAUGACACGUGCUGUUCUGAUUGUAGAGUUAUGUGAAAUGGAAAGAAAGAGAUACAUGUACAUACAGAGACUGUUUUGAUAUUAAGGUGUAAAAAUGAGCUACCAGAAAAGAUGUUGAAAAUUUUAAAACUGUUUUAACAAGAGCAUCAAAAAAUAGAAAAAAAAGAACAAUACCAGGUCUAGACUUUGUGGCUGCAUGCAAUUAAUUCUAAAUUACCAGGAAACAAGAUGUAGCUGCACAGCAGACAUGGCAGAUCUUAAAAUUGCUAAUAGACAUCAACUCAACAUUUUCAAGCUGCAUAUCAAAAAUGAAAGCAUUCCUUUUCAUAGAAUCCAAGAAAUCUUUUAACCAAGUCAAGUGGUUAUUAGACCUGCUAUCAUGAAAAUAUUAACAUAUAUAUUAGUCACAUGUAAUAUCCCAAAUAUAAGAACUAUUUGGUAUGUCUGACUAUCUUUCUUCCCAUGUCAUGUUAUAUGUAUGCUCAGAAUAUUUUAAUUUCACAAGGAUAUGAAAUGGAUAAAUGAUAUAUUGUCAACCAUUUAAAUAAAACAGACAGGCUCACAUAAAACUUAACUGUCUAUGUGAAAGUUCAAGUUGACUGAAAUUGUUUAUAAUUAAUACCAUAUAUCCAAAAGUACAGAAUUGUCUUUCUCAGAAAUUUUGUAUGUUUAAUAGAAUGAUACUUGUAGCUUC